GUCGAUUUGUUUCCUGAGAAAAACAAAAAUAAAUGAGUUCAGCAAGCAAAGUUUUUUUUAAAUGGUCACUCAUUACAUUAUCAUGGUUUAACUUGUUCGAAAUCGAGCUUUUUGUUAAAAAUAUCGCUUCAAUUUGAAUUAGAUCAUGUCUUAAAAUGUUUAACCUAAUUCAACCUCAAAUAAAGUGGAAAGGGAAAAAUAAAUCUUUUGUUGGACAAGAUUUCAAACUCGGCAGAAUCGUGUCUAUAUCAUGUAUACCCACGCAAUUAAUGCUCAACCAAGAAGGCAAACCACAAAGCUUAAAUUUAGGAAACAAAAUAAGCUAUUGUUACCAUUGGAAAGCCGGGAUUGCCUUCUUUACACAUAUCAAAUUAAAUCAGGUGAGGCACUUCACAAUCUAUUAGAAAUUUGACGAUUACUAAUGAUUCAAUUUUUAUCACUUUCUGCAGGUCACAUUCUGAGCUAAACUAAUCUUAUCUGUCUAACUCAUCGAAUGAGAGAAUGGAUUAAUAAACUGUUGCAUCACUGAGGAUGAAUUUCGCAGGAAAUUUGUCAUUUACUGUGAAUUCAUGCGAAUGGAUCAAACGGAAAUAACAACAUAAGUAGGAAGAGCAUUAAUCAACCGAUGUUAUGAAAUAAAGCAGAACUAGAUUUGAACUCACUUUCCAAGCUAUUUUAAAUCAACACUGAUGGCAAUAAUUUGUAAUUUGAAUGAUAUGGAAAGAUCAAAAUCAAUUUUAACCAAUCAAAUAUUGUUAAAAACAUGCAAUUUUUUUUAUAAUCUUGUUCAGUUACUAUAUGAUAACAUUGUAUAGAUUUUUAGUUGUGAAUAUAUUGCUCAGAUUUAAUACUUGAAA
Molecule: non-coding RNA, 857 nt
Organism: Tetranychus urticae (two-spotted spider mite)
Lineage: Eukaryota; Metazoa; Arthropoda; Arachnida; Trombidiformes; Tetranychidae
Source: RefSeq, a predicted model, not a curated record